CCUACGGGAGGCAGCAGUGAGGAAUAUUGGUCAAUGGCCGAGAGUCUGAACCAGCCAAGUCGCGUGAGGGAAGACGGCCCUACGGGUUGUAAACCUCUUUUGUCGGGGAGCAAAGCGAGUCACGUGUGACUCAUUGCGCGUCCCCGAAGAAAAAGCAUCGGCUAACUCCGUGCCAGCAGCCGCUGUAAUACGGAGGAUCCGAGCGUUAUCCGGAUUUAUUGGGUUUAAAGGGAGCGUAGUUGGAUUGUUAAGUCAGUUGUGAAAGUUUGCGGCUAAACCGUAAAAUUGCAGUUGAGACUGGCAGUCUGGAGUACAGUAGAGGUGGGCGGAAUUCGUGGUGUAGCGGUGAAAUGCUUAGAUAUCACGAAGAACUCCGAUUGCGAAGGCAGUUCACUGGACUGCAACUGACACUGAGGCUCGAAAGUGUGGGUAUCAAACAGGAUUAGAUACCCUUGUAGUC
This 460-nucleotide ribosomal RNA is filed under the name uncultured bacterium. RNAcentral describes it as "partial 16S ribosomal RNA". It matches the Rfam family "Bacterial small subunit ribosomal RNA", at positions 338 to 795 of the family's 1533-position model. The record is from RNAcentral.